Molecule: ribosomal RNA, 459 nt
Filed under: uncultured bacterium
Lineage: Bacteria
Description: partial 16S ribosomal RNA
Rfam family: Bacterial small subunit ribosomal RNA
Source: RNAcentral
GAUGAACGCUGGCGGCGUGCCUAAAACAUGCAAGUCGAGCGGUAAGGCCUCUUCGGAGGUACACGAGCGGCGGACGGGUGAGUAACACGUGGGAAUCUACCCCAAACUGAGGGAUAAGCACCGGAAACGGUGUCUAAUACCGCAUAUGGUCUUCGGAUUAAAGCUUCGGCGGUUUGGGAAGAGCCCGCGUAAGAUUAGCUAGUUGGUGAGGUAAAGGCUUACCAAGGCGACGAUCUUUAGCUGGUUUGAGAGGAUGAUCAGCCACACUGGAACUGAGACACGGUCCAGACUCCUACGGGAGGCAGCAGUUAGGAAUUUUCCACAAUGGGCGAAAGCCUGAUGGAGCAACGCCGCGUGCAGGAUGAAGGUUUUCGGAUUGUAAACUGCUUUUAUACGUGAAGAAUAUGACGGUAACGUAUGAACAAGGAUCGGCUAACUCCGUGCCAGCAGCCGCCGUAA